RNAcentral lists this unclassified non-coding RNA (213 nucleotides) under Hevea brasiliensis (rubber tree). The record is from RNAcentral. Lineage: Eukaryota; Viridiplantae; Streptophyta; Magnoliopsida; Malpighiales; Euphorbiaceae.
GGGGGUGGGUGGGGUGGUGGAUUAAAAACCCCCAUCUUUGAUCUUGCCUUGCAUGGAGAGCGAAGCCUUAGGGAGAGUAUGUCAACAAAAGUAACCCUCCAUGUCAAUAAAAUUACAGAGCAAGUAAUAUAACCAAUGACAAAAACUUAAAAAAGGAUUCUUGAAUUGUAUAUGCAUCGCUUAAUAAUUAAGGUAGAGUUUGGCAUUACAACA